UACGUAGGGUCCGAGCGUUGUCCGGAAUUACUGGGCGUAAAGAGCUCGUAGGUGGUUUGUCGCGUUGUUCGUGAAAACUCACAGCUUAACUGUGGGCGUGCGGGCGAUACGGGCAGACUUGAGUACUGCAGGGGAGACUGGAAUUCCUGGUGUAGCGGUGGAAUGCGCAGAUAUCAGGAGGAACACCGAUGGCGAAGGCAGGUCUCUGGGCUAUAACUGACGCUCAUGCACGAAAGCGUGGGGAGCAAACAGG
RNAcentral lists this ribosomal RNA (253 nucleotides) under uncultured bacterium. RNAcentral's name for it is "partial 16S ribosomal RNA". It matches the Rfam family "Bacterial small subunit ribosomal RNA", at positions 524 to 776 of the family's 1533-position model. The record is from RNAcentral.